This 494-nucleotide ribosomal RNA is filed under the name uncultured bacterium. RNAcentral's name for it is "bacterial SSU rRNA". It matches the Rfam family "Bacterial small subunit ribosomal RNA", at positions 903 to 1397 of the family's 1533-position model. The record is from RNAcentral.
AAAUGAAUUGACGGGGGCCCGCACAAGCGGUGGAGCAUGUGGUUUAAUUCGAUGCAACGCGAAGAACCUUACCUACUCUUGACAUCCAGAGAACUUUCCAGAGAUGGAUUGGUGCCUUCGGGAACUCUGAGACAGGUGCUGCAUGGCUGUCGUCAGCUCGUGUUGUGAAAUGUUGGGUUAAGUCCCGCAACGAGCGCAACCCUUAUCCUUUGUUGCCAGCGGUUAGGCCGGGAACUCAAAGGAGACUGCCAGUGAUAAACUGGAGGAAGGUGGGGAUGACGUCAAGUCAUCAUGGCCCUUACGAGUAGGGCUACACACGUGCUACAAUGGCGCAUACAAAGAGAAGCGACCUCGCGAGAGCAAGCGGACCUCAUAAAGUGCGUCGUAGUCCGGAUUGGAGUCUGCAACUCGACUCCAUGAAGUCGGAAUCGCUAGUAAUCGUAGAUCAGAAUGCUACGGUGAAUACGUUCCCGGGCCUUGUACACACCGCCCGU